Molecule: long non-coding RNA, 493 nt
Filed under: Elaeis guineensis (African oil palm)
Lineage: Eukaryota; Viridiplantae; Streptophyta; Magnoliopsida; Arecales; Arecaceae
Description: long non-coding RNA (EGUI_LNC081226)
Source: RNAcentral
UUGACUUGUCGGUGCGUGUGUCAAGAUAGGAUUGACCACUCCAGUUUAGGAGCUGUGUACAGUAAUGUUUCAAUUUAGCAAAACCUUGGCCAGGGUAGUCCUUGUGAGGAGUCACAGGACUGUUUGAGUUGAGCACGAUUCAAAUGAUCUGAUCAGGAUUGACAGUUUAACCCUGAGUCGUCCUAAACACAGGGGUCAAAAGGAUGAAUUAUACAGUAACCAUAUUCAUAUAGGUUCUGAGUGUUGCGAUUGUGACUUUUCGACCUAUCCAGAUAUCGGGUACCAUUGCUAGAUGGUCACUUCAAUUAGUACAGGAAUUGGUUCCUGUGCUACCGGCUUAGGUUCGAACCUGCGGGGUCACACACAUUAGAGGUUCCUAUCUGAUCUGAUGGCUGGUGUAGAAUCCUACAUGUUUGGGACUCAGUGAUCGAGAAUCAGGAUUCUCUGAUCAUGAGUUUCACACAUUAUGGGUACCGGGGUCAAGAGUCCCACU